Molecule: unclassified non-coding RNA, 164 nt
Filed under: uncultured Cortinarius
Lineage: Eukaryota; Fungi; Basidiomycota; Agaricomycetes; Agaricales; Cortinariaceae
Description: sequence contains ITS1
Source: RNAcentral
UUGAAAUAAACCUGAUGGGUUGUUGCUGGUUCUCUAGGGAGCAUUGUGCACACCUAUCAUCUUUAUAUCUCCCCCUGUGCACCUUUUGUAGACCCCCCGGGGUCUAUGUUGCUUCAUUUACCCCAAUGUAUGUUAAUAGAAUGUAUGUGCCUAUGAAAUCUAUA